AGGGCUGGAAAGAUGGCUCAGAGGUUAAGA
RNAcentral lists this non-coding RNA (30 nucleotides) under Cricetulus griseus (Chinese hamster). Lineage: Eukaryota; Metazoa; Chordata; Mammalia; Rodentia; Cricetidae. The record is from RNAcentral.